ACACAAGAAGGGAGGUGGUCCGAGAUUUUGAGUGACUUAUGGACAUGUGAGGUGGCUGCUAGCUAGCAGCACCAGGCUGAGGAUUCACCUGCGAGCGCUGGCGAAUUCCAAGCAGCCACCCGGCCCCCGAGCCCUUGGUUUGUCCAACCAGGAACUAUGGCUCGGGGGCCGCCCAUU
Molecule: small RNA, 177 nt
Filed under: Mycolicibacterium tokaiense
Lineage: Bacteria; Bacillati; Actinomycetota; Actinomycetes; Mycobacteriales; Mycobacteriaceae
Description: Mycobacterium tokaiense Actinobacteria sRNA Ms_IGR-5
Rfam family: Actinobacteria sRNA Ms_IGR-5
Source: Rfam by way of RNAcentral